This 543-nucleotide ribosomal RNA is filed under the name uncultured archaeon. RNAcentral describes it as "bacterial SSU rRNA". It matches the Rfam family "Archaeal small subunit ribosomal RNA", at positions 326 to 870 of the family's 1478-position model. The record is from RNAcentral.
CGGGGUGCAGCAGGCGCGAAAACUUUACAAUGCCGGCAACGGCGAUAAGGGAACCUCGAGUGCCAGGUUACAAAUCUGGCUGUCGUGAUGCCUAAAAAGCAUUGCAUAGCAAGGGCCGGGCAAGACCGGUGCCAGCCGCCGCGGUAACACCGGCGGCUCGAGUGGUAACCGUUAUUAUUGGGUCUAAAGGGUCUGUAGCCGGCCGGGUAAGUCUCUUGGGAAAUCUGGCAGCUUAACUGUCAGGCUUUCAGGAGAUACUGCCUGGCUCGAGGCCGGGAGAGGUGAGAGGUACUUCAGGGGUAGGGGUGAAAUCUUGUAAUCCUUGAAGGACCACCAGUGGCGAAGGCGUCUCACCAGAACGGACCUGACGGCAAGGGACGAAAGCUAGGGGCACGAACCGGAUUAGAUACCCGGGUAGUCCUAGCCGUAAACGAUACUCGCUAGGUGUCGGCCACGGUGCGACCGUGGUCGGUGCCGUAGGGAAGCCGUGAAGCGAGCCACCUGGGAAGUACGGCCGCAAGGCUGAAACUUAAAGGAAUGGCG